GCAAUAGCCUAGUGGUUAGAGCGUCCGCCUCGGAUCAGGAAGGUCGUGGGUUCGAUUCCCGGUUGAAUCA
Non-coding RNA from Potamilus streckersoni, 70 nucleotides. The record is from the annotation of a GenBank genome assembly. NCBI's taxonomy places the organism in Eukaryota, Metazoa, Mollusca, Bivalvia, Unionida, Unionidae.